This 301-nucleotide ribosomal RNA is filed under the name uncultured bacterium. Its description in RNAcentral is "partial 16S ribosomal RNA". It matches the Rfam family "Bacterial small subunit ribosomal RNA", at positions 509 to 807 of the family's 1533-position model. The record is from RNAcentral.
CAGUAGCCGCGGGAAUACGAAGGGGGCUAGCGUUGCUCGGAAUCACUGGGCGUAAAGGGUGCGUAGGCGGGUCUUUAAGUCAGGGGUGAAAUCCUGGAGCUCAACUCCAGAACUGCCUUUGAUACUGAAGAUCUUGAGUUCGGGAGAGGUGAGUGGAACUGCGAGUGUAGAGGUGAAAUUCGUAGAUAAUCGCAAGAACACCAGUGGCGAAGGCGGCUCACUGGCCCGAUACUGACGCUGAGGCACGAAAGCGUGGGGAGCAAACAGGAUUAGAGACCCCAGUAGUCCCUGUCUCUUAUAC